RNAcentral lists this transfer RNA (72 nucleotides) under Deltaproteobacteria bacterium. RNAcentral describes it as "tRNA-Ser". It matches the Rfam family "tRNA". From Rfam's summary of the family: Transfer RNA (tRNA) molecules are approximately 80 nucleotides in length. Their secondary structure includes four short double-helical elements and three loops (D, anti-codon, and T loops). Further hydrogen bonds mediate the characteristic L-shaped molecular structure. tRNAs have two regions of fundamental functional importance: the anti-codon, which is responsible for specific mRNA codon recognition, and the 3' end, to which the tRNAs corresponding amino acid is attached (by aminoacyl-tRNA synthetases). tRNAs cope with the degeneracy of the genetic code in two manners: having more than one tRNA (with a specific anti-codon) for a particular amino acid; and 'wobble' base-pairing, i.e. permitting non-standard base-pairing at the 3rd anti-codon position. The record is from RNAcentral. RNAcentral also lists the same sequence under 1 other name. Lineage: Bacteria; Pseudomonadati; Myxococcota; Myxococcia.
CAGCGUGUAGUUCAGCAGCAGAACGCCAGGCUUGAGACCUGGAGGGCGCAGGGGCAGCACCUGCCACGCUGG